AUUGAACGCUGGCGGCAGGCCUAACACAUGCAAGUCGAGCGGGGUUUUCGGACCUAGCGGCGGACGGGUGAGUAAUGCGUAGGAAGCUACCCGAUAGAGGGGGAUACCAGUUGGAAACGACUGUUAAUACCGCAUAAUGUCUACGGACCAAAGUGUGGGACCUUCGGGCCACAUGCUAUCGGAUGCGCCUACGUGGGAUUAGCUAGUUGGUGGGGUAAUGGCUCACCAAGGCGACGAUCCCUAGCUGGUUUGAGAGGAUGAUCAGCCACACUGGAACUGAGACACGGUCCAGACUCCUACGGGAGGCAGCAGUGGGGAAUAUUGGACAAUGGGCGCAAGCCUGAUCCAGCCAUGCCGCGUGUGUGAAGAAGGCCU
RNAcentral lists this ribosomal RNA (375 nucleotides) under uncultured bacterium. RNAcentral describes it as "bacterial SSU rRNA". It matches the Rfam family "Bacterial small subunit ribosomal RNA", at positions 30 to 417 of the family's 1533-position model. The record is from RNAcentral.